This 125-nucleotide ribosomal RNA is filed under the name Erinaceus europaeus (western European hedgehog). The record is from RNAcentral. Lineage: Eukaryota; Metazoa; Chordata; Mammalia; Eulipotyphla; Erinaceidae.
AUCUAUGGCCAUAUCACCCUGAACACUCCACAGAUGGAACACGCUCCAUCUCAUCUGAUCUUAGAAGCUAAGCAGAGUUAAGCCUGGCUGGUACUUGAAUAGGAGAAAGUUGAUCAUCUUGGAAA